This is a long non-coding RNA of Penaeus chinensis, 777 nucleotides long. RefSeq lists it as uncharacterized. Lineage: Eukaryota; Metazoa; Arthropoda; Malacostraca; Decapoda; Penaeidae. The record is from RefSeq and is a predicted model, not a curated record. The transcript has 3 exons.
GCGCGAGCCCGCGACCUUUGCCGUGCCCCUCCCGCUGGCCGUAGCCGAUGAGGGUGCCCUCUGCGCGCCUGCGCAGGCAGAUAUCCGAAAAUAUCAAUUGCGCGCUACAAUUAUUGUAUUAUGUUUAAUAUUCCACAUGCACGAGGGAAAACUCAAGACUGCACACGAUUUUGCGCAAGGGAAAAAGGUGCUGUGUGUAUAAUUGCCAAUGUGCGCUGAUGUCACUUCGCAGGUGAAAACGUGCAGGGCACAAAACAAUAGCGAAAGAACCGCCACUCAGGCCCGAGACUUCAGCGAAGUCAGAGAGAGAGACUUUUUUUUAUAUUAUUGCGAUUUUGGAGCUAUUUAUAGUGUAUUUAUUUUAUAUCAUUACCUUUUUGUACUGUGAGGCGGUGGAACACGACAUCGGGAACAUCAGAAACGCCAUAUAUAUUAAGUACGAGGGUCCUUGUUAUCCUCAUCGAAACCGAAUGGCUGAAUUGAAGGGGAUUUGACAUGGAAGGAAGGAGAGUGAGAGACCGUGCCUCAGAGAGAAAUCAGGCUAAAAGGCUUACUCUGAGGGAAUCAGAAGACAGCUCCAUGGAGUUUCGGGAGCGGUGUCGUACCACUGCUCGCUGGAUGAAGAAGGCCAACAUACCUGGAAGAGGCAAUCUUUACGUCAUCCGUACAAAAAUCCCGCUCCCUCCUCACCUUCCUCGCCCUUUGCACACCCUUCCCCAACACUCACUUGGUGGAUAAGGUGUUGAUCGAUCCUGUGGCGACCAUGACCAACGCCAG